CUCAUGCUUCAGCCGACACCCCCUAGAAUUCCUUUCUCUGCAUUUCUUGAAGAAACCCUAACUAUAUGUAACAUACCAUCCUCUUCAUCCUUCAUUUUUACAAAAAUAGAGCCCUAAUCAGAUCACUACAAACGCAUAACCAGACCCCUCUCUUCUCUUUGUCCGUUCGCCGGCGACCAGGAGCCGUUUUCCGGCUUGUUUCUCCGACAAACACCCACCCCCACAUCCCUCGUCUCUUUCACCAUGCCCAACGAACAGGAUCAGCCGACCACCACCACUUUCGGGUGGUGGCGCGUGGUGGCGUUGGACGGUAGGUUACGAGCGGAUGAGAGCAGAAGAGAUGAGAGAGAGACCUGUUGAAGAAAGAGAGAGAGAGAGCAGUGACUGAACGACGGCGAAGUGCCGUCUCCGACGGUGGCGGCAGUGCCGCCGUGACGGUGGUGGAGGCGACGACAGUGGUGGGGUGUAUGUGUUUGGUUCGGUUCAGGCAACAACUUAACAGGCUUGGUUUUGGUUCAAGAGGUGGUUCAGUUCAAGACGGGUUUUGGGUUUAGGUGACGUCUCGGUUCGGGUCAGUUUUGGGUCCUGGUUACAAGAUAAAAAAAGGGUGUGCGGUUUUAGUUCCAGUUUGGUUCAGAAAUUGUGGCUCGGGAGCAUCGGUUCGGCUCAAUGGUUAAUCGGUCAAGUCAUGGGUCUCGGUUCAGUUCAGAUGUCGGUUCUGAUCUCGUAUGUUUCAGUUCAGAUUUUGGGUGCGGUUCCAAGUCGGUCACAGCUUCGGUUCGGGUCAAGCGGCCUUGGGUCAGACUCAGUUCGGUUGACUUGGUCAAACCGAGUCAACUCAGUCAAUGACAGUCAACUGUUGGUCAACACCGGUCAAUAGAAGUCAAGGAUGGUCAACUGGUCAUAGAAGACCCGGUAAAGUUUUAACAAUGCGUUAAACUUUAUAUAUAGAUUCGUUAGACUUUUACUUUACGCGACCGAGCUCGACCCGACUAAACUAGAUACUAGCUUACGUUUUGGUAUAUUUAAUGAGAAUUUUUUUUAUAUAUAUAUAGUGUUUAUUGGUUGAAUCA
Helianthus annuus (common sunflower) is the source of this 1073-nucleotide long non-coding RNA. RefSeq lists it as uncharacterized. The record is from RefSeq and is a predicted model, not a curated record. The transcript is spliced from 2 exons. Lineage: Eukaryota; Viridiplantae; Streptophyta; Magnoliopsida; Asterales; Asteraceae.